UACGUCGGGGGCUAGCGUUGUCCGGAAUCAUUGGGCGUAAAGCGCGUGUAGGCGGUCCGGUAAGUCCGCUGUGAAAGUCGGGGGCUCAACCCUCGGAUGCCGGUGGAUACUGUCGGGCUUGAGUACGGAAGAGGCGAGUGGAAUUCCUGGUGUAGCGGUGAAAUGCGCAGAUAUCAGGAGGAACACCAAUUGCGAAGGCAGCUCGCUGGGACGUUACUGACGCUGAGACGCGAAAGCGUGGGGAGCAAACAGG
Molecule: ribosomal RNA, 253 nt
Filed under: uncultured bacterium
Lineage: Bacteria
Description: partial 16S ribosomal RNA
Rfam family: Bacterial small subunit ribosomal RNA
Source: RNAcentral